AAGCAAACAAGCACUAACAUCCCAGCUUGCUAUUGCAAAGAAUAAAGGAAAGAAAGAAAGAAGAAAAGUAACCAGUUUUCAAAGCAAAUCAUUACAAGCUAAACAGAUCCAGGUCUUUAAGCUGCUCCUCUUAGAACAUGGUCACCACAAUUGGCAAAGGUGGUUCACCUGAGCCAGCUGGAAAGGGCACACUCCUACCUCUGACACAGUGUACGUUCACUUGUUGCUUCAGGGCUACGUAUUCUGUGAGCGAAUGCCCAGCCUUCUCCGGCCAUCUCUGAACUAAUGCCCGGCCUUCCUGCCACAUCUGAAUCCAUCCUAUCUGAUCCUUCCUUGCCUUCAAAGAGAUGUUCUCUUUUGACAAAAGUGGAGCAGCUGGGCCACCAAUAGCUCAUUUCUUUGUUAACCUUUCUUUUGUCUAUGGUGCAACCAAUGCAGAAUUGUACAAACCUAAGUUUUGUUGUGGAAAGCUUUAUUCUGGAUCUAACAAAAUCCCCAGAAUGAAUGUAUGACUUGCAAUUUCAUGAAGUAUGGACAGAUAGCAAAUAAAGUGUUCAGUCAAUGUAA
Anolis sagrei ordinatus is the source of this 567-nucleotide long non-coding RNA. RefSeq lists it as uncharacterized. Lineage: Eukaryota; Metazoa; Chordata; Lepidosauria; Squamata; Anolidae. The record is from RefSeq and is a predicted model, not a curated record.